RNAcentral lists this ribosomal RNA (522 nucleotides) under uncultured Bacteroidota bacterium. RNAcentral's name for it is "bacterial SSU rRNA". It matches the Rfam family "Bacterial small subunit ribosomal RNA", at positions 384 to 906 of the family's 1533-position model. Lineage: Bacteria; Pseudomonadati; Bacteroidota. The record is from RNAcentral.
UGAUCCAGCCAUGCCGCGUGCAGGAAGACGGCCCUAUGGGUUGUAAACUGCUUUUGUACCGGAGAAAACCUUUCCCUGCGGGGAGAGCUGAUCGUACGGUGAGAAUAAGCAUCGGCUAACUUCGUGCCAGCAGCCGCGGUAAGACGAAGGAUGCAAGCGUUAUCCGGAUUCAUUGGGUUUAAAGGGAGCGUAGGCGGUCUAAUAAGUCAGUGGUGAAAUCUCUCGGCUUAACUGAGAAAUGGCCAUUGAUACUGUUGGACUUGAGUACAGAUGCCGUUGGCGGAAUAUGACAUGUAGUGGUGAAAUACAUAGAGAUGUCAUAGAACACCGAUGGCGAAGGCAGCUGACGAAACUGUAACUGACGCUGAGGCUCGAAAGUGUGGGGAUCAAACAGGAUUAGAUACCCUGGUAGUCCACACUGUAAACGAUGAUUACUCGCUGCUGAGGGGUGACUUUCAGUGGCUAAGCGAAAGCGAUAAGUAAUCCACCUGGGGAGUACGCCGGCAACGGUGAAACUCAAGG